Molecule: ribosomal RNA, 300 nt
Filed under: uncultured Luteolibacter sp.
Lineage: Bacteria; Pseudomonadati; Verrucomicrobiota; Verrucomicrobiia; Verrucomicrobiales; Verrucomicrobiaceae
Description: partial 16S ribosomal RNA
Rfam family: Bacterial small subunit ribosomal RNA (bases 52-300)
Source: RNAcentral
GAGAUGUCGGUGACAUAGGCCGCGGGACAGCGUGGGGGGCAAGGGUUAAUGGGGAUUACGGGGGGUCAUGGGGUGGUAGGCGGUUGGCUAAGACCAGUGGGAAAUCCCCGGGAUAAACCUGGUAACUGAAUUGGUGACUUGCAGGCUAGAGUAUGGCAGAGGGGGGUAGAAUUCCACGUGUAGCAGUGAAAUGCGUAGAGAUGUGGAGGAAGACCGAUGGCGAAGGCAGCCCCCUGGGCCAAUACUGACGCUCAUGCACGAAAGCGUGGGGAGCAAACAGGAUUAGAUACCCGAGUAGUC